RNAcentral lists this transfer RNA (77 nucleotides) under Pseudomonadota bacterium. RNAcentral's name for it is "Proteobacteria bacterium (cold seep metagenome) tRNA-Met". It matches the Rfam family "tRNA". Rfam says of the family: Transfer RNA (tRNA) molecules are approximately 80 nucleotides in length. Lineage: Bacteria; Pseudomonadati; Pseudomonadota. RNAcentral also lists the same sequence under 3 other names. The record is from RNAcentral.
UGCGAGGUGGAGCAGUCUGGCAGCUCGUCGGGCUCAUAACCCGAAGGUCGGGGGUUCAAAUCCCUCCCUCGCUACCA